Caretta caretta (loggerhead turtle) is the source of this 92-nucleotide non-coding RNA. The record is from the annotation of a RefSeq genome assembly. NCBI's taxonomy places the organism in Eukaryota, Metazoa, Chordata, Testudines, Cheloniidae.
GUAGUUGUGGCUGAGUGGUUAAGGUGGUGGACUCGAAAUCCCUUGGGGGGGGGGGGGGUCUCCCUGUGCAGGUUUGAACCCUGCCAACUACG